Molecule: ribosomal RNA, 497 nt
Filed under: uncultured bacterium
Lineage: Bacteria
Description: partial 16S ribosomal RNA
Rfam family: Bacterial small subunit ribosomal RNA
Source: RNAcentral
GAUGAACGCUGGCGGCGUGCCUAAUACAUGCAAGUCGAGCGAACGGACGAGAAGCUUGCUUCUCUGAUGUUAGCGGCGGACGGGUGAGUAACACGUGGAUACCCUACCUAUAAGACUGGGAUAACUUCGGGAAACCGGAGCUAACACCGGAUGAUAUUUUGAACCGCAUGGUUCAAAAGUGAAAGACGGUCUUGCUGUCACUUAUAGAUGGAUCCGCGCUGCAUUAGCUAGUUGGUAAGGUAACGGCUUACCAAGGCAACGAUGCAUAGCCGACCUGAUAGGGUGAUCGGCCACACUGGAGCUGAGACACGGUCCUUGCUCCUACGGGAGGCAGCAGUAGGGAAUCUUCCGCAAUGGGCGAAAGCCUGACGGAGCAACGCCGCGUGAGUGAUGAAGGUCUUCGGAUCGUAAAACUCUGUUAUUAGGGAAGAACAUAUGUGUAAGUAACUGUGCAUAUCUUGACGGUACCUAAUCAGAAAGCCACGGCUAACUACGUG